RNAcentral lists this ribosomal RNA (433 nucleotides) under uncultured bacterium. RNAcentral describes it as "partial 16S ribosomal RNA". It matches the Rfam family "Bacterial small subunit ribosomal RNA", at positions 29 to 507 of the family's 1533-position model. The record is from RNAcentral.
AACGAACGCUGGCGGCAUGCCUAACACAUGCAAGUCGAACGAGACCUUCGGGUCUAGUGGCGCACGGGUGCGUAACGCGUGGGAACCUGCCCUUAGGUUCGGAAUAACUCCCCGAAAGGGGUGCUAAUACCGGAUAAUGUCUUCGGACCAAAGAUUUAUCGCCUUUGGAUGGGCCCGCGUUGGAUUAGCUAGUUGGUAGGGUAAAAGCCUACCAAGGCGACGAUCCAUAGCUGGUCUGAGAGGAUGAUCAGCCACACUGGGACUGAGACACGGCCCAGACUCCUACGGGAGGCAGCAGUGGGGAAUAUUGGACAAUGGGCGAAAGCCUGAUCCAGCAAUGCCGCGUGAGUGAUGAAGGCCUUAGGGUUGUAAAGCUCUUUUACCCGGGAUGAUAAUGACAGUACCGUGAGAAUAAGCGCCGGCUAACUCCGUG